ACACUCACCGGGCAGGGGAGAUACCAGGUCAGAUACCUGGGAAAGAUACCUUUCCCAGGGCGAGGCUUAUCCAUGGAUGUGCUGACCCCUGAGAUGUCCCUCAGUGUGGGAAACCCGACUGCAUAAUCUGUGGUGGUGGGGACUGCGUUCGCGCUCUCCCCUG
This is a non-coding RNA of Myotis davidii, 163 nucleotides long. The record is from Rfam. NCBI's taxonomy places the organism in Eukaryota, Metazoa, Chordata, Mammalia, Chiroptera, Vespertilionidae.